This 347-nucleotide ribosomal RNA is filed under the name uncultured bacterium. RNAcentral describes it as "partial 16S ribosomal RNA". It matches the Rfam family "Bacterial small subunit ribosomal RNA", at positions 338 to 703 of the family's 1533-position model. The record is from RNAcentral.
CCUACGGGUGGCAGCAGUGGGGGAUAUUGCACAAUGGAGGAAACUCUGAUGCAGCGACGCCGCGUGAGGGAAGACGGUCUUCGGAGUGGAAACCUCUGUCUGUGGGGAAGAAAAGGACGGUACCCAAAGAGGAAGCUCCGGCUAACGACGUGCCAGCAGCCGCGGUAAUACGUAGGGAGCGAGCGUUGUCCGGAAUUACUGGGUGUAAAGGGAGCGUAGGCGGGCGAGAACGUUGAAUGUUAACUCUACCGGCUGAUCUGGUAGCUGCGUUCCAAACUUCUUGUCUUGAGUUCAGUAGCGGCCGGCGGCAUUCCUAGUGUAGCGGUGCACUGCGUAGAUAUUAGGAG